RNAcentral lists this ribosomal RNA (680 nucleotides) under uncultured bacterium. RNAcentral's name for it is "bacterial SSU rRNA". It matches the Rfam family "Bacterial small subunit ribosomal RNA", at positions 140 to 807 of the family's 1533-position model. The record is from RNAcentral.
GGGAUAACACUUGGAAACAGGUGCUAAUACCGCAUAACCAUAGUUACCGCAUGGUAACUAUGUAAAAGGUGGCUAUGCUACCGCUUUUGGAUGGGCCCGCGGCGCAUUAGCUAGUUGGUGGGGUAAAGGCUUACCAAGGCAAUGAUGCGUAGCCGAACUGAGAGGUUGAUCGGCCACAUUGGGACUGAGACACGGCCCAAACUCCUACGGGAGGCAGCAGUAGGGAAUCUUCCACAAUGGGCGAAAGCCUGAUGGAGCAGCGCCGCGUGGGUGAAGAAGGUCUUCGGAUCGUAAAACCCUGUUGUUAGAGAAGAAAGUGCGUGAGAGUAACUGUUCACGUUUCGACGGUAUCUAACCAGAAAGCCACGGCUAACUACGUGCCAGCAGCCGCGGUAAUACGUAGGUGGCAAGCGUUAUCCGGAUUCAUUGGGCGUAAAGGGAACGCAGGCGGUCUUUUAAGUCUGAUGUGAAAGCCUUCGGCUUAACCGGAGUAGUGCAUUGGAAACUGGGAGACUUGAGUGCAGAAGAGGAGAGUGGAACUCCAUGUGUAGCGGUGAAAUGCGUAGAUAUAUGGAAGAACACCAGUGGCGAAAGCGGCUCUCUGGUCUGUAACUGACGCUGAGGUUCGAAAGCGUGGGUAGCAAACAGGAUUAGAUACCCUGGUAGUCCACGCCGUAAAC